RNAcentral lists this ribosomal RNA (210 nucleotides) under uncultured bacterium. Its description in RNAcentral is "partial 16S ribosomal RNA". It matches the Rfam family "Bacterial small subunit ribosomal RNA", at positions 143 to 353 of the family's 1533-position model. The record is from RNAcentral.
GUAACUACUGGAAACGGUAGCUAAUACCGCAUAACGUCGCAAGACCAAAGAGGGGGACCUUCGGGCCUCUUGCCAUCGGAUGUGCCCAGAUGGGAUUAGCUUGUUGGUGGGGUAACGGCUCACCAAGGCGACGAUCCCUAGCUGGUCUGAGAGGAUGACCAGCCACACUGGAACUGAGACACGGUCCAGACUCCUACGGGAGGCAGCAUG